RNAcentral lists this ribosomal RNA (385 nucleotides) under uncultured eukaryote. RNAcentral describes it as "partial 18S ribosomal RNA". It matches the Rfam family "Eukaryotic small subunit ribosomal RNA", at positions 592 to 976 of the family's 1831-position model. The record is from RNAcentral.
CAAUAGCGUAUAUUAAUGUUGUUGCAGUUAAAAAGCUCGUAGUUGGAUUCCUGACCUGGGGUAGCCGGUCCGCCUUGCAAAAGGUGCGCACUGAGCGGCCUCGGUCAUCCUUGAGAAGAGCGGUCCUGGCAUUCAGUUGUCGGGGUCGGGAUUCUCGACGUUUACUGUGAAAAAAUCAGAGUGUUCAACGCAGGCUUACGCCUUGAAUACAUUAGCAUGGAAUAAUGAGAUAGGACCUUGGCGGUCUAUUUUGUUGGUUUGCACGCCGAGGUAAUGAUUAAAAGGGACGGUUGGGGUUCUUCGUAUUCAAUUGUCAGAGGUGAAAUUCUUGGAUUUAUGGAAGACGAACUGCUGCGAAAGCGUCGAACAAGGACGUUCUCAUUAA